This 72-nucleotide transfer RNA is filed under the name Parcubacteria group bacterium. RNAcentral's name for it is "tRNA-Arg". It matches the Rfam family "tRNA". Rfam says of the family: Transfer RNA (tRNA) molecules are approximately 80 nucleotides in length. Their secondary structure includes four short double-helical elements and three loops (D, anti-codon, and T loops). RNAcentral also lists the same sequence under 1 other name. The record is from RNAcentral.
GCCCUCGUAGCUCAAUGGACAGAGCAGCGCUCUUCUAAGGCGUUGAUAGGGGUUCGAUUCCCUUCGAGGGCG